This 416-nucleotide RNase P RNA is filed under the name Actinomycetota bacterium. RNAcentral's name for it is "Actinobacteria bacterium RNase P RNA component class A". It matches the Rfam family "Bacterial RNase P class A". Rfam says of the family: Ribonuclease P (RNase P) is a ubiquitous endoribonuclease, found in archaea, bacteria and eukarya as well as chloroplasts and mitochondria. Its best characterised activity is the generation of mature 5'-ends of tRNAs by cleaving the 5'-leader elements of precursor-tRNAs. The record is from RNAcentral. Lineage: Bacteria; Bacillati; Actinomycetota.
CGAGUUGGCCGGGCGGCCGCGGGACCGAGAGGUUUCGAGGAAAGUCCGGACUUCACAGAGCAGGGUGAUUGCUAACGGCAAUCCGAGGUGACUCGCGGGACAGUGCCACAGAAAACAGACCGCCGACUUGAGUGUCAGGGCGAAGCCCUGGGAGUCAGACGGUAAGGGUGAAACGGUGCGGUAAGAGCGCACCAGCAUUCCGGGUGACCGGAGUGGCUAGGUAAACCCCACCCGAAGCAAGGCCAAGAAGGCCGCAACCUGGUUGCGGUUGCGCAGGUGCCCGAGGGCUGCUCGCCCGAGCCUGCGGGUAGGCCGCUUGAGGCACCCGGCGACGGUGUGCCCAGAUGGAUGGUCGCCGCCCCGCCACCAGCGAUGGUGGCGGGGAACAGAAUCCGGCUUACAGGCCAGCUCGUCCG